This is a long non-coding RNA of Zea mays, 235 nucleotides long. RefSeq lists it as uncharacterized. NCBI's taxonomy places the organism in Eukaryota, Viridiplantae, Streptophyta, Magnoliopsida, Poales, Poaceae. The transcript is spliced from 2 exons. The record is from RefSeq and is a predicted model, not a curated record.
AAUUAUAUUGGAUCUGAGCACCUGCUCCUUGGACUGCUUGGUGAGGGUGAAGGUGUGGUGGCUCGUGUGCUUGAGAGUCUCAGAGCUGACCCUAGAAAUAUCCGUACACAAGUUAUUCGAAUGAUUGGUGAGACCACAGAAGCUGUUGGUGCUGGAGUUGGCGGCGGCAGCAGUGGUAAUAAGAUGCCAACUCUUGAGGAGUAUGGAACUAAUUUAACAAAAUUAGCAGAGGAGG